AUGUGAAUCACUUGGGAAUUUUAUUAAAAUACAGAUUCUGAUUCAGUAGGUCUAUGCAGGGGCCUGAGAUUCUGCAUUUCUAACAAGCACCCUAGGGGUACUGAU
This 105-nucleotide microRNA precursor is filed under the name Marmota monax (woodchuck). Lineage: Eukaryota; Metazoa; Chordata; Mammalia; Rodentia; Sciuridae. The record is from RNAcentral.